AGAUCAUUAAAUACAUGAUAUAUUCAGAUUUUUAUAGUUUACAGGUCAUUAAAUACAUGAUAUAUUCAGAAUAUUAUAGUUUACAGGUCAUUAAAUACAUGAUAUAUUCAGAUUAUUAUACCUUACAGCUCAUUAAAUACAUGAUAUAUUAUAGUUUACAGGUGAUACAGAGGAACUUACAGCAGCUAACACACAAGAAGCUUUACAUUACACAAUAUACACUGCAGUAUUUCAACACACACACACACACACGUAUAAGAAUCACACAGUUUAAAAAGAUUUAAUAAAAUAGUUCUGUCUAAAAGGUGUUUUGGUGCUAACAGGUGCCUGGUCUCUCAGAGGGAAAGUGUGUGUGUCAGUCAGUCCCCACUGUCCUGGUUGGGGAAGGUGUAGUUAUCAUGCCUCUCCACACAGGGGUGCUGUUUCACACACUGCCUCAGCCUCCAAACCGGUCUUCUCCUCACAAACCUACAAAGACAGGACACACAUUGCUAGGUGGUGUAUGUUUCGGGUGUGUUUAGUUGUGGUGUGAGUCUGUAGUGGUGUGAGUCUGUAGUGGUGUGAGUCUGUGGUGAGGCUCUGUGGUGAGUCUCUGUGGUGAGUCUGUGUGUGGUGGUUACAUGGGGCUCUGUGAUGAGUCUCUGUGGGGAGUCUGUAGUGAGAGUCUGUGGUGAGUCUGUGUGGUGGUUACAUGGGGCUCUGUGAUGAGUCUCUGUGGGGAGUCUGUGGUGAGAGUCUGUGGUGAGAGUCUGUGGUGAGUCUGUGUGGUGGUUACUUGGGGCUCUGUGAUGAGUCUCUGUGGGGAGUCUGUAGUGAGAGUCUGUGGUGAGAGUCUGUGGUGAGUCUGUGUGGUGGUUACUUGGGGCUCUGUGAUGAGUCUCUGUGGAGAGUCUGUGGUGAGUCUGUGUGGUGGUUACUUGGGGCUCUGUGAUGAGUCUCUGUGGGGAGUCUGUGGUGAGAGUCUGUGGUGAGUCUGUGUGGGGAGUCUGUAGUGAGAGUCUGUGGUGAGAGUCUGUGGUGAGUCUGUGUGGUGGUUACUUGGGGCUCUGUGAUGAGUCUCUGUGGGGAGUCUGUGGUGAGAGUCUGUGGUGAGUCUGUGUGGGGAGUCUGUAGUGAGAGUCUGUGGUGAGAGUCUGUGGUGAGUCUGUGUGGUGGUUACUUGGGGCUCUGUGAUGAGUCUCUGUGGGGAGUCUGUGGUGAGUCUGUGUGGUGGUUACUUGGGGCUCUGUGAUGAGUCUCUGUGGGGAGUCUGUAGUGAGAGUCUGUGGUGAGUCUGUGUGGUGGUUACUUGGGGCUCUGUGAUGAGUCUCUGUGGGGGAUCUGUAGUGAGAGUCUGUGGUGAGAGUCUGUGGUGAGUCUGUGUGGUGGUUACUUGGGGCUCUGUGAUGAGUCUCUGUGGGGAGUCUGUAGUGAGAGUCUGUGGUGAGAGUCUGUGGUGAGUCUGUGUGGUGGUUACAUGGGGCUCUGUGAUGAGUCUCUGUGGGGAGUCUGUAGUGAGAGUCUGUGGUGAGAGUCUGUGGUGAGUCUGUGUGGUGGUUACUUGGGGCUCUGUGAUGAGUCUCUGUGGGGAGUCUGUAGUGAGAGUCUGUGGUGAGAGUCUGUGGGGAGUCUGUGGUGAGUCUGUGUGGUGGUUACUUGGGGCUCUGUGAUGAGGCUCUGUGGGGAGUCUGUGGUGAG
This 1677-nucleotide long non-coding RNA is filed under the name Salmo salar (Atlantic salmon). Its description in RNAcentral is "lncRNA (ENSSSAG00000084455.1)". Lineage: Eukaryota; Metazoa; Chordata; Actinopteri; Salmoniformes; Salmonidae. The record is from RNAcentral.